This 315-nucleotide ribosomal RNA is filed under the name Triticum aestivum (bread wheat). RNAcentral describes it as "partial small subunit ribosomal RNA". Lineage: Eukaryota; Viridiplantae; Streptophyta; Magnoliopsida; Poales; Poaceae. The record is from RNAcentral.
AUGAAUCAAUGCAACCGUUUUAGAAAUGCUACUGUCCUAUACUUUGUUUUCCACCAAGAUAAGGGAGAUGCUUCUUUUUGUGGCCGCAUGUUUCAUCCUCCUUUAUUGGCAGUAAUUGUUUCCUUUUUUGCCUCUGUUAAAUCAGGGAUAUCUAUUCAACUUGUUGCUAUAGCAAACUUAAAUUUCUCACCGGCGACUUUACUUGAUUUCAGAGUAACUGCACAAAACGGGAUUGGAUUUCCUAUUCGUGUUGGCAGAUUCGUACGUGAUCUUGUGUGCGUCAUGACAGGUUGGUACUUGCCUUCAUCCACAUGA